UAAGUUAGUAAAGCGAAAAAAAAUAUUUUAAUAAAAAUUUAUAAAUUAAAUAAAUAAAUAUGAAUGUAAAGAAGAAAAAAAAUAACUAUAUUUGAUUAUACUUAAUAAUAUAAAAAAUACAUUAAAAAAUAUUUAAAAUGGAAUCACAACUCAACAAAAAAUAAUAAAAGAAACCGAAAAAAAAGUAAGAAUUAUAUGAGAAGAAAAAUUAUUACAUAGAUAUUAUAAAAAAAANUACAAAUUUUUAAACCCUUUGAUCAUUAGGCAAAUGAUGUCGAAAAAAUUUGAAAAUUGAUUUCUAAGCACUUCAAGUGAUAUAGAUCAUGUUCAACGGAACCGAUCGUCAAUUUGGAAGCUCUAUCAUCGAAAACAACUCGAUAGUAAACGGCCCCGUUUACUAUCGAGAGUAUUCUAGCUCAACUCUAUAUAUAUAUAUAUCAUGUGCGACAUCGAUGCGAUAUUUUAAUUAUUGUAUAAUACACUAUGAUAAUAAUCCAAUAUUAUCAGUGUCACAUUAGUGUCGGCUUGUAUUUAAGAGAGAAAAUAUAGAAACCAACAAUAAAAUCAAUAAUAAAAAGCUCCUUGAAUAAGCUUCUCAAGAGAAAAAAUCCCUAUAAUAAUAUUGGGACAAAUAUUCUAAACAU
RNAcentral lists this long non-coding RNA (644 nucleotides) under Ananas comosus (pineapple). RNAcentral describes it as "long non-coding RNA (ACOM_LNC007870)". Lineage: Eukaryota; Viridiplantae; Streptophyta; Magnoliopsida; Poales; Bromeliaceae. The record is from RNAcentral.